GUCUGGUUCACGGUUUUCACUGUCUCAAAAACGCGCCUCCGAUGAACCCUGCAGACAGCAACCAUCAGCUCCUCCACCAUCAGCUCCUCCACCAUCAGCUCCUCUCCACCAUCAGCUCCUCCACCAUCAGCUCCUCCACCAUCAGCUCCUCCACCAUCAGCUCCUCAACCAUCAGCUCCUCUCCACCAUCAGCUCCUCUCCACCAUCAGCUCCUCCACCAUCAGCUCCUCUCCACCAUCAGCUCCUCCACCAUCAGCUCCUCCAUCAUCAGCUCCUCAACCAUCAGCUCCUCCACCAUCAGCUCCUCAACCAUCAGCUCCUCAACCAUCAGCUCCUCUCCACCAUCAGCUCCUCUCCACCAUCAGCUCCUCUCCACCAUCAGCUCCUCUCCACCAUCAGCUCCUCCACCAUCAGCUCCUCAACCAUCAGCUCCUCAACCAUCAACUCCUCAACCAUCAGCUCCUCCACCAUCAGCUCCUCCACCAUCAGCUCCUCUCCACCAUCAGCUCCUCCACCAUCAGCUCCUCCACCAUCAGCUCCUCAACCAUCAGCUCCUCCACCAUCAGCUCCUCAACCAUCAGCUCCUCAACCAUCAGCUCCUCUCCACCAUCAGCUCCUCUCCACCAUCAGCUCCUCCUCCACCAUCAGCUCCUCCACCAUCAGCUCCUCUCCACCAUCAGCUCCUCCACCAUCAGCUCCUCCACCAUCAGCUCCUCAACCAUCAGCUCCUCCAUCAUCAGCUCCUCAACCAUCAGCUCCUCCACCAUCAGCUCCUCAACCAUCAGCUCCUCAACCAUCAGCUCCUCUCCACCAUCAGCUCCUCUCCACCAUCAGCUCCUCUCCACCAUCAGCUCUCUCCACCAUCAGCUCCUCCACCAUCAGCUCCUCAACCAUCAGCUCCUCAACCAUCAACUCCUCAACCAUCAGCUCCUCCACCAUCAGCUCCCACCAUCAGCUCCUCCACAUCAGCUCCUCCACCAUCAGCUCCUCCACCAUCAGCUCCUCAACCAUCAGCUCCUCCACCAUCAGCUCCUCAACCAUCAGCUCCUCCACCAUCAGCUCCUCCACCAUCAUC
This 1075-nucleotide long non-coding RNA is filed under the name Oryzias javanicus (javanese ricefish). RNAcentral describes it as "lncRNA (ENSOJAG00000007969.1)". Lineage: Eukaryota; Metazoa; Chordata; Actinopteri; Beloniformes; Adrianichthyidae. The record is from RNAcentral.